This 259-nucleotide non-coding RNA is filed under the name Alkaliphilus metalliredigens. RNAcentral describes it as "T-box sequence". It matches the Rfam family "T-box leader". Rfam says of the family: Uncharged tRNA acts as the effector for transcription antitermination of genes in the T-box leader family. The record is from RNAcentral. Lineage: Bacteria; Bacillati; Bacillota; Clostridia; Peptostreptococcales; Natronincolaceae.
AUAUAAGCAAUGAAGGAGAUCCGUAUUUAUAAAAACAGUCCCAGAGAGUCGGUGAUUUGCUGAAAGCCGAUACUGUUGAUAAAUAACCAAUCACUCCUGAGCUGUAUCUUUGAACAUUCUAAAGAAGUAAUCUUCUUUGGCUAUUAAAAGAUACCGACUAGUCUCGUUAUAGACUUAGGUUUGUUGGAACUGAAAUAGAGGUACUCAAUUUACUUUGAGUACAAUCAAGGUGGUACCGCGGGUAAUGCUCGCCCUUGAA